Molecule: long non-coding RNA, 747 nt
Organism: Andrographis paniculata
Lineage: Eukaryota; Viridiplantae; Streptophyta; Magnoliopsida; Lamiales; Acanthaceae
Exons: 3
Source: RefSeq, a predicted model, not a curated record
UUACGUGUAUAGCUACGGUAACAAAAACAUGAUUAUCUACAUGAAUUUAAGUCAUAAUUAUUCACAUGAUUUUCGACUUAUUUGGAAACAAAAUAAAACCACUGUUAUCCACAAAAAUCACACACUCAUUCAGAAAUUCUUCAUAAACACACAAGUUGCAUAAUUUCUUCGAACAGACAGCUGGAUAUCGAAUAACCACUGCACUCAGUCUCCCUUCCCUUUCUCUUACCAACUUCGAACAAUAUUUGCUUCCUCGUUCUCCUCUUUUGCCCCCUCACUCUUUCAGAUUGUGAUCCAGGGCGAAUUCGAAUUUACCAAUGGCCGUCGGGCUUCGGCAGCCUCCACGUGCCGAAAUACACUGUCCAAAUAGUUAAUGAAGAGUGGGAGUUCGAGGGCGUGUCCGAUGUUCGGAUAGGUUGUCCUGGUUUUGCAUCCACAACUCUCAUCGAUCCUAGGGUUUUUCGACGGCUGGAUUUCGCCACCUGUCUCCUCUGGGACGGGCGCGCCGUCAUGUCCGGUCAGGUUAUUACAUUCGAAUACACGAACAUACUUCCGUACACUUUGGCCGCGGCCGCAAUGGUCUGUCACUGACACGUCACAAAGAUAUUUGUCAGAACCUCGCGUCUACCCGUAUCCAUUGUGAUUGGUAUUUGUGGGACUCAAUUAGGGUUGGGAAACUUACCUAAAAUUUUGUUCCUAAUUAGUUUGUCACACUAUUGAAUUUUCUACUUUGUUUGGGAGGUUAUA